GCCGUAAACCUAGCCCAGUCGAAACAAAUAUCAUAACACUAACUAGUUAAUCCUAAUAAACCAUUUUAAUGUUUAAGUAGAGGAGAUUGAAAAACCCACUUGGAGCUAUAACAAUAGUACCGCAAGGGAACGGUGAAAUAUUAUUAAAAAUUAAAGCAACAAAAAGUAAAGACUAUACCUUGUACCUUUUGCAUCAUGGUUUAACUAGUUAAACCAAGCAGAACGCAUUUAAGUUUGACCUCCCGAAACUAAGUGAGCUACUUCAAGGCAGCUAAAAGAGCGAACCCGUCUCUGUAGCAAAAGAGUGGGAUGACCUUCAAGUAGUGGUGACAGACCUAACGAACUUAGUGAUAGCUGGUUACUCAGGAAACGGAUAUAAGUCCAACCUGAAUUUCAUAACCCCAAGUCUACCUAAACAAUUUAUUAUUUUCAGAGUAAUUCAAAUAAGGUACAGCCUAUUUGAAACAGGACACAACCUAAGCCAGCGGAUAAAAUAAGCCAACCGAACAAUAAAGUUGGCCUAAAAGCAGCCAUCUUUAAAAUAGCGUCAAAGCCUACUUGUUCUCACGCCUAAUUACUAAACUUCCAUCUUAAUCCCCCAUUAAUACUGAGUAAUUCUAUAUUUUUAUAGAAAUUUUUAUGUUAAAACUAGUAACAAGAAGAAGACCAUUCUCUUAAAUGUCAGUGUAAAUCAGACAGGACAAACCACUGAUACUUAACAUUAUUGAACCAGAAGUAAAAACUAAUCAAGAAAAAUUUACUCUAAUUUAUGUCAACCUAACACAAGUACAUUUCAAGAAAGAUUUUAAAAAAAAGAAGGAACUCGGCAAAUAUUAACCCCGCCUGUUUACCAAAAACAUCGCCUCUUGAACCAAACUAAGAGGUCCAGCCUGCCCAGUGACUCUGUUAAACGGCCGCGGUAUCCUAACCGUGCGAAGGUAGCGUAAUCAUUUGUUCUUUAAAUAAGGACUAGUAUGAAUGGCAUCACGAAGGUUAUACUGUCUCCUUUUUUUAAUCAGUGAAACUAAUCUCCCUGUGAAGAAGCAGGGGUAAAAUUAUAAGACGAGAAGACCCUAUGGAGCUUAAAACAUCAUAGCACUUACCAUAAAGUAAAUAGACUUCUGAGUUAUUAAAUACCCGAGUAAUAUGUCUAUAAGUUUUUGGUUGGGGUGACCACGGAGCAAAAUGCAACCUCCACGUUGAACAAAUUUUAUUUUAAGCUAAGAAUCACAUCUCUAAGCAUCAGUAUACUGACAUCCAUUGACCCAACACCUUUGAACAACGAACCAAGUUACCCUAGGGAUAACAGCGCAAUCCACUUCAAGAGCCCAUAUCGACAAGUGGGUUUACGACCUCGAUGUUGGAUCAGGGUCUCCAAGUGGUGCAGCCGCUACUA
This 1396-nucleotide ribosomal RNA is filed under the name Ansonia spinulifer (Kina Balu stream toad). RNAcentral describes it as "partial 16S ribosomal RNA". It matches the Rfam family "Bacterial large subunit ribosomal RNA", at positions 23 to 2567 of the family's 2925-position model. The record is from RNAcentral. Lineage: Eukaryota; Metazoa; Chordata; Amphibia; Anura; Bufonidae.